Molecule: ribosomal RNA, 253 nt
Filed under: uncultured bacterium
Lineage: Bacteria
Description: partial 16S ribosomal RNA
Rfam family: Bacterial small subunit ribosomal RNA
Source: RNAcentral
UACGGAGGGUGCAAGCGUUAUCCGGAUUCACUGGGUUUAAAGGGUGCGUAGGAGGGCAGGUAAGUCAGUGGUGAAAUCUCCAAGCUUAACUUGGAAACUGCCGUUGAUACUAUCUGUCUUGAAUAUUGUGGAGGUCAGCGGAAUAUGUCAUGUAGCGGUGAAAUGCUUAGAUAUGACAUAGAACACCAAUUGCGAAGGCAGCUGGCUACACAAAUAUUGACACUGAGGCACGAAAGCGUGGGGAUCAAACAGG